AAUGGGCGCAAGCCUGAUCCAGCCAUGCCGCGUGAGUGAUGAGGGCCCUAGGGUCGUAAAGCUCUUUCGCCUGUGAAGAUAAUGACGGUAGCAGGUAAAGAAACCCCGGCUAACUCCGUGCCAGCAGCCGCGGUAAUACGGAGGGGGUUAGCGUUGUUCGGAAUUACUGGGCGUAAAGCGCGCGUAGGCGGAUUAGUCAGUCAGAGGUGAGAUCCCAGGGCUCAACCCUGGAACUGCCUUUGAUACUGCUAGUCUUGAGUUCGAGAGAGGUAAGUGGAAUUCCGAGUGUAGAGGUGAAAUUCGUAGAUAUUCGGAGGAACACCAGUGGCGAAGGCGGCUUACUGGCUCGAUACUGACGCUGAGGUGCGAAAGUGUGGGGAGCAAACAGGAUU
Molecule: ribosomal RNA, 392 nt
Filed under: uncultured Gammaproteobacteria bacterium
Lineage: Bacteria; Pseudomonadati; Pseudomonadota; Gammaproteobacteria
Description: bacterial SSU rRNA
Rfam family: Bacterial small subunit ribosomal RNA
Source: RNAcentral